CACCCACCUCAGCCUUCGAAAGUGCUAGGAUUACAGGCGUGAGCCAUUGUGCCCAGCCAAUUCCAAAGAUAUUUUAAAUUUCCCUGGAGGAAAUAAGAGUGAGAAUUCCUAGAGUGGCACAUUGAGUUUGUUCCUCAAAUACUAUUUGAAUUUACCCUGCAAAUAUGUGGUGUCAGGUGGGCGUUGUGUAAUGGAAUUUGAAGGACAUCUAUGACCAUCUAUAGGGAGCUGAGAUUUAUAAAUUUCUUGAGUAGGCAUUUUAGACAGGCUCGAUGAGGCAUUGAGAGCUGAUGUUUCCCCAAGUGGAAUGAACACAUCAGGUGUUACAUGACUCAGAUUCUGUUUUAAGUUAGACUCAAUCCACACUACAGACUUGGAUGGUCAGAAUAAUAAUGUGAAUCAGCAUGUGUUGUAAGAUGCAUGACAUUUCUGCAUCUGUCAGCAAUGACAAAUGUUCUUUCUCUUUCUCAGAUUCAACUAGAUAAGUGGAUGUUUGCUUCAUUCUUAUUUUGAACAGUUGACUAUAUCAAGAAACCACACCACUUAUUUAUGCCCAUAUUAGGCAGUACAGUAUCUGAUGGAAAGGACUCUGGUAAUUCAAUUUAAUAUGUAACACGCUUCACACCGUGACACAGCAGGAGAACCCAGAGUGGCAGCUGUUGGAAUGAAUGCCCUCUUCCUGCUUAAGUCUGACAUUUCCAAGAGUAAAGUGGGGAGUCCUGUUUUUUCAGAAACGUAGCAGCAUCAGAGAUGUGGCUAUUGUGAUCAGAAUUACUUGGCUAGGUGAGUUUUGGGUUUGAUUUACUUUUUCAUAUUUGUCUUUCUGCAUGUAUAACAUAUUUUCCUACGGAGAAAGAUAUGCUGAAGUUAAACUUCACAUGAGUUGACUACCUAAAAUUACAGCUGUUAGCAAUUUUUAAUAAAACACUAUCCACCGCACUAUAAAAACGGAUUCCAUUUUCAUAAUGUUUGUGUCAUUCCACUGAACAGUGCAGUUAGAAAUCCCAGAAGCAAAUGCAGCACAAAUUGGAGAGCAGCUGUGUAGAGGUGACUUCUAAUCAUAAUUGAGCACAAACAGGAAUAAAUAAAUCAAGGACGAAACUUCUCAACUUCUGAUGCCUGGCGAUGUCAGUUUUAAAGCCAGAUAAAUAUCAAGCGAAUUGCAAAAGAAAUUACACAGCAGAUAGAAGAGUGACAGUCAAACACCCACCCUUUCUGGGAACACUCCUAUGUACCAGAAACACAAGAACUUUAUUUUGAAACCUGGAUGACAUAUUUGAAACUGCUGGUGUUCCUGACUUUAGCUUGGCAGAAAUGCCAGCUGAGUGUGCACAUAGCACAGGUGGACGAAUGGCAAACAAGACACCUCACAGCUGUAGGCAAGGAGGUGCUUCUAAGGGCAUACAGUCUGGGCAGUGCCAAGGAAGACAGGUAUGAUACGAAGAGGGAGGACGGGCUGGAAUUUGGGGGUUUUGUCAUCAGUGUGUGUGUAUUAAAAUAUAUUGGUGCAUUUUUGAAAGUUAAUUGUUGUUGGAUUUUCAGCUGAGGCCUCAUUCUUAGGAAAUAACGUGAUGGCAAUAAAUGUCAGCCUUAGCUAGUGACCCUUAAAAAGCUAAACCAGGAUAAAAAUAAUAACUUGGCAAAGGUUCCUAUUUGGUGCACUCCUUUUGUGCUCUGCCUUUGUCCUGAGUCUGCUUUGCCAAACACUCUGCCUUCAAGCACUGUUUUUAGGGAGAAGAGGCCAUUCUUUCUGAAGAGGGAACAGCUGAGAAAAGGACCAGCCCACAGAGGGAACGAGGACACUCCUAGCUGCUUUAAAGCCAUACCACAGGGCCUGUGAGUUUGUAACAAGACAAUGUUUUCUUGUUGCUCCCUUACCUAAGCCCCCCGCAAAAAAUCACCGUUUUUAUCAGCCCUUUAGUCCUUAAGAGUGCCUUUAGUGAUGAGACAGUGUUUCUGGAAGUUUCGUAUAAGUGCUUUUCUUUUCCCACAUGCAGAAGACUCAAGAGGUUGCAGAAUCAGAACAGCUUGUGUGCUUUUCCAUAUUAUAGCUUAUGUGUAUGACUAUACUGAUCUUCCAUUAAACAGGGCGUCUUACCCACCCUGCAGUGCUAAGCAUGUGUCAGAUUGGAAACUAAGUACCAUUUAAAAGAAAAUGUCUUUCAGUAUUUAAAAAAACAAAACAAAACUAAGAAAUAGAAAAUUAUCUCACAUCGAGCCAAGCCCUUUCUCAGAUACCCUUUUGCUUCUCAGUUUUAGGAGUUAUUCAAGUCUCUAGCCUCACUCUUCAUUGCCCUGACUUGUGCCUGAGAUGUUUUUAGUCCUUCAGCCAGUUCAAAUCAGGAAUGAGGUGCAUUUGAGCUCGACUUCUCUGCCAAGCAGAUAAUCCCCUAAUGACUGGUCAGCAUUUUCAUCCCAGAGAGUCAAACUGACCUUUCGGUAGCAGAGGUUGCUUUAGGUUUGUGCAAAAUAACUUUAAAGACAAGUAAAUUCCCACUUUGGGGGCGUCACCGUCAUCCCUUUGAUUGCCUGCAUUUCCUAGCAUUUCUUUCUCCAGUGUGGACAUUGCAAAACUUUGAUUUUUCAAAGUGGUUAUUUAGUUCCUAAAACAUUUAGAGUUGGGGCAAAAUUUGCAUAAUUCUAUAAAAAAGCUUAUACCUCAGCUUUGAAAAAUAUUUGAGAAAAUGUGAUUUGUGGGGGAAGGAAGUCUUAUCUUUUGGCCCAGAAGGUGUUUCACGGAAGUAAACUUGUUAAUGUUAGGAUUGCCUGUUAAGCACCAAAAAGUAAAAAAUCAAGAUUAGAAGGGUUUCUUUUAUCUCCGCUUCAAGUCUGCAGGGGUUUGAAGCUUAAGAUAGAGAAGGACUUUAGGGUUUUUUUUUUUUUUUUUUUUUUUU
Cebus imitator (Panamanian white-faced capuchin) is the source of this 2894-nucleotide long non-coding RNA. RefSeq lists it as uncharacterized. Lineage: Eukaryota; Metazoa; Chordata; Mammalia; Primates; Cebidae. The record is from RefSeq and is a predicted model, not a curated record. The transcript has 2 exons.